UACUAUGUUACGACUUAUCUUACCUUAAUAGUAAGAGUGACGGGCGAUGUGUACAUAUUUUAGAGCUAAAAUCAAAUUUUUUAUCUUUAAAACUUUACUAUCAAAUCCAUCUUCAUUAAAUAUUUCAAAUUUAAAUUCGCUUAAAUAAUUUUAUUGUAACCCAUCUCUACUUAAAUAUAAGCUACACCUUGAUCUGAUAUAAAUUUUAAUAAAAAUUAUAGAAAAUUAUUAUUCUAAUAAAAUAUUCUAAUAACGACGGUAUAUAAACUGAAAAACAAACUUAAGUAAGGUACAUCGUGGACUAUCGAUUAAAGAACAGGUUCCUCUGAAUAGACUAAAAUACCGCCAAAUUUUUUAAGUUUUAAGAACAUAACUACUACUACCUUAGUGUUUAAAAUUACAUUUAAAAUAAUAGGGUAUCUAAUCCUAGUUUA
RNAcentral lists this ribosomal RNA (434 nucleotides) under Rhagoletis cerasi. Its description in RNAcentral is "partial 12S ribosomal RNA". Lineage: Eukaryota; Metazoa; Arthropoda; Insecta; Diptera; Tephritidae. The record is from RNAcentral.